RNAcentral lists this long non-coding RNA (623 nucleotides) under Sus scrofa (pig). RNAcentral describes it as "lncRNA (ENSSSCG00015047517.1)". Lineage: Eukaryota; Metazoa; Chordata; Mammalia; Artiodactyla; Suidae. The record is from RNAcentral.
AUGUGCUCCUGCGGCUCCCCGCUUCUGGGUUUUCCAGAAACUGCAGAUCACUUUUUCAUUAUUGAGCACGCACAGUGUGUAAAUAUAUUUCGUUUCUCAACACCCCAAUUAAGCCCCUUGGCUCUACCGGGACCUCCAUGUUCUGGCCACCUGCAUGUUCCACCUUUGACCACGUCACAUGGGGGUCCACCCCUCCUCCCUCUAGCUCAGUCUCCUCCAACCCCCCCGACGCCCUCCUGGAAGGGCAGCUGGGUUCCUGAUGGUGUGAGAACACAGGGACUUCACCCGGCUUCUGCCUGCGGCACGUUGGUCUCCUCUUGGCCUCAGUCUCCUCAUCUGUGAAGCGGGGAUGCAUCAAGUCACCGUGUCGCUGGGGUCUGGGGUGAUAAGGCGGGACAGCGCUAUGAGAGGACUACCACCUUGCAAGAGGGGUGUGCACACACGGGUCACCCUCGCUUCCAUUCCGACGUGUCCCUGUGGCCCCUCCAGGCCCAGCUCAGCACGACAGAGGCAGAGGUGCUCUGUAAAUACCACCUGAGGAAUCUGUAAAAUUUGAGGGGGCCAAGGGCGAAAAUGCGCCGUAAGCCCCAAUCCUAGGACCAGGGAGCCCACUUCGGAGCUUG